Molecule: ribosomal RNA, 460 nt
Filed under: uncultured bacterium
Lineage: Bacteria
Description: partial 16S ribosomal RNA
Rfam family: Bacterial small subunit ribosomal RNA
Source: RNAcentral
CCUACGGGGUGCAGCAGUGAGGAAUAUUGGUCAAUGGACGAGAGUCUGAACCAGCCAAGUAGCGUGAAGGAUGACUGCCCUAUGGGUUGUAAACUUCUUUUAUAUGGGAAUAAAAUGUUCCACGUGUGGGAUUUUGUAUGUACCAUAUGAAUAAGGAUCGGCUAACUCCGUGCCAGCAGCCGAGGUAAUACGGAGGAUCCGAGCGUUAUCCGGAUUUAUUGGGUUUAAAGGGAGCGUAGGUGGAUUGUUAAGUCAGUUGUGAAAGUUUGCGGCUCAACCGUAAAAUUGCAGUUGAAACUGGCAGUCUUGAGUACAGUAGAGGUGGGCGGAAUUCGUGGUGUAGCGGUGAAAUGCUUAGAUAUCACGAAGAACUCCGAUUGCGAAGGCAGUUCACUGGACUGCAACUGACACUGAGGCUCGAAAGUGUGGGUAUCAAACAGGAUUAGAUACCCGGGUAGUC